UACGUAGGGGGCAAGCGUUGUCCGGAAUCAUUGGGCGUAAAGCGCGUGUAGGCGGCCCGAUAAGUCCGCUGUGAAAGUCCAGGGCUCAACCCUGGGAUGCCGGUGGAUACUGUCGGGCUCGAGUCCGGAAGAGGCGAGUGGAAUUCCCGGUGUAGCGGUGAAAUGCGCAGAUAUCGGGAGGAACACCAAUGGCGAAGGCAGCUCGCUGGGACGUUACUGACGCUGAGACGCGAAAGCGUGGGGAGCAAACAGG
RNAcentral lists this ribosomal RNA (253 nucleotides) under uncultured bacterium. Its description in RNAcentral is "partial 16S ribosomal RNA". It matches the Rfam family "Bacterial small subunit ribosomal RNA", at positions 524 to 776 of the family's 1533-position model. The record is from RNAcentral.